GUGUCAGCAGCCGCGGUAAUACCGGCAGCACGAGUGAUGACCGCUAUUAUUGGGCCUAAAGCGUCCGUAGCUGGCUGAACAAGUCCGUUGGGAAAUCUGUCCGCUUAACGGGCAGGCGUCCAGCGGAAACUGUUCAGCUUGGGACCGGAAGACCUGAGGGGUACGUCUGGGGUAGGAGUGAAAUCCUGUAAUCCUGGACGGACCGCCGGUGGCGAAAGCGCCUCAGGAGAACGGAUCCGACAGUGAGGGACGAAAGCUAGGGUCUCGAACCGGAUUAGAUACCCGCGUAGUCC
This 293-nucleotide ribosomal RNA is filed under the name uncultured prokaryote. RNAcentral describes it as "partial 16S ribosomal RNA". It matches the Rfam family "Archaeal small subunit ribosomal RNA", at positions 455 to 747 of the family's 1478-position model. The record is from RNAcentral.